GUCUUGGCGUUGGCCUAGCUUAGCUAGCUAUGAACUGGACAUCCGGUGCUAUAGACUAGAUAUAUUCUCGGGGUUGAGGAGGAACGAGCUCAAAACGGUUUUAGCGGCGGAGGGCACGGGCAAAGCGGAGCAAGUCUAGAACAACCUCGGCGGCGGUCAGUUCAAGUAGCGGUGGCGCCCGAGGAUCGUGGAGGACGUGGAGGAUCAAGUAGAUAGGCCAAGGGAGAUGGAGGUACUGGGAUAGAAACCGUGUCCCCUCGUCACAUCUCUGCACGUGCUGGAGUUGUCUUCCAACGGCGGUAGUUAGCAGCGAGGUCGGCCAGGAGCGGCCGCCAUGUCUUCGGGACCAGCAGGACCUCCUGCAAAACCUCAAGAGGCAGAUGGAGGAGUAGAACAGGGCAGCAGGGGCUAGGGGCCUCGAUUGGGGUCGCUGCGGUGCCAGUUCUGGGCUCGGUGGGGCGCGGCAAGAAGGAGUUGAGGCCGCUACGGGACAGGAACAAGGAGACUAACAGGCCUCACACUUCGCUUAGUCUUAAUUCGUAAUCUCAUGAAGUUGUGGCAAGUUCCUAUAAGUCCACUAGUCACUCUAUGUUAUCCCAGCACUCAGAAGUGAGUUGUACAAGAGGUCACCCGUAAUUACCUGAGUAGCAAAUAAUACGAUGGAAAGGCGAUAAUAAUAACUUAUUUCAAUCGAUACACGAUGAGUCAAACAUUAUGAAAUACUUAAAACCUAGUAUGCAAUAUCAUUUACUACGUGAACAGUAAACUAUAGGUAUACAUGACACACACGAUCGCUCAGCUAGGUCCCUGAUCGUGUCACUCGUGUCUCUGUAGCUUAGAAUAGUCCAAUCCCAGCAAUGUUUGUAGAAGUGGUCGUGGUAGAGUAGAGUUUGGGAUCAAGUAGAAGUGGACACCCAACGAUCUUCACACUUAAUGUAGGACAUCAACUA
This 950-nucleotide ribosomal RNA is filed under the name Triticum aestivum (bread wheat). RNAcentral's name for it is "partial small subunit ribosomal RNA". The record is from RNAcentral. Lineage: Eukaryota; Viridiplantae; Streptophyta; Magnoliopsida; Poales; Poaceae.